Non-coding RNA from Arachis ipaensis, 280 nucleotides. The record is from RefSeq and is a predicted model, not a curated record. Lineage: Eukaryota; Viridiplantae; Streptophyta; Magnoliopsida; Fabales; Fabaceae.
GGGAACCGCAAAAGGAUCAGAUGCGUCAGAGUCAAAGACCCAAGGAUUUCAACUCGCCUCAACGCCGUUGUUGGUGGAAUCACAAGGAAGCUUGUUCAUAAUCACAAAGAAACUUCUCAUCUUCAACCUAAUCGCCUCACAAGGGGAAGAGAAGCAUCAGAGAGAGAAGCAUACUCCUUUUUUUUUUUUUAUCUUCCUCCCACCUCCCAUUCCUUCUGUUUCAGUCACUAAAAAUUGAGAAUUUUGAUGAUAUAAUGAUGGUAAAACUGAAAUUUUCGGA